RNAcentral lists this long non-coding RNA (906 nucleotides) under Homo sapiens (human). Its description in RNAcentral is "non-protein coding MIR4432HG:4". The record is from RNAcentral. Lineage: Eukaryota; Metazoa; Chordata; Mammalia; Primates; Hominidae.
AGUCACAGAACUGACUCCCCGGAGGGCUCGCUGCCUUGCUUUUCUCUGGUCCUUGUUCAUCGCAUACCUCCAGGCAACUUCAGCCUCACCUUUGCCCUAAGGUAAGGAGCAAGGGUUGUAUGGUAGCUUCCAGGUGGAGCCAAGAGACCCUUAGUCUAGUUGGUUCAUCAUAUGCUGUAUUUCUGCACUAAAAAACCCAGACAUACACAUGCACACUCAGCUCACACAUAUACACUCACUACUGACACAUACAUAUACACACUCACUUGCAUGAACAGCCGCUCACAUAUGUUCACACUCUCACUCGUAAACUCACAUGCAUGCACACAUUCUCAUAUACACAUGUAUGUACACUUGCACAUACACAUUUGCUCAUCCACACAUACAUACACUUACUUGCACAAAGAUACACUCAUGCAUACUCGCGUCCACACACUCAAAUGCACACACACAGAUAUACACUCAACAGGGUGCUCCAAACUCAAAGGUGAGUGUUUUGGAGAAGUUAUCCUCUUUUUGGUUAGUUUUCCUACAAUUCCUUCUUUUCAGAAUCUAGUUUUUCAGCUGGAGGAGGUGUCCUGCGUCUGAGUGAGAAAAGCUGUUGUGGUUUCUUAAAUUUUUUAGCUGCACAGGCGGAAGGAUAUUCUUCCUUGUGGUUUAGAAUUACAUCUAGAAAGUUGCAAACAGAUUUCCACAGCCUCCCUUAAGGUGCCUUCUUGUGCUGUUUUAAAAAGGAGGGCUCUAGAGAAGGCACUGAUAUAUAUAUUUUUUAAUAAAAGGAAAAAUAAAAUACAAGGACAUGGAAUGAAUAAGGAGAGUGAAGGGAAAACAAGCCCGAGGAGAUAAAGUGAAAAUUCUCUUACAUUUGAGACUUGGGUUGGAGGUGGGGGUUGGGGACUGCCAACU